CGUAUGGGUCAGACUCCUGUCAUCCUGCUUCAGUAUUCAUUGAGCUGUCUGUGUUUGAUGUGGUGGGCACAUUGUGCCUGGUUUGUUACACCUGUUUGCCUCUCAGCUGAAACCCGCUGGUGCAGAGCUGCAGCCCAUUGUGCUAAGCACACUGGCCUCUUGAGCGUGAUGUGAAUUAUAUGGAGCAGGUGUGAGUGCCAGGGGAAGGUGGAGGUCGGUGUCACACUUCACAGCAGAAAGCCACCCACCAUCAAGGCUGCUUUUCAUGUGCUCAGCCAACGUGAACUCUACUGGAAACAGAAGGCCUUCUGAGGCUGUGUGCAAGCCUGAAGGAACAGAGCAGGCUUUUGAGGGAGGAAAUCAAAGAGGUUGGAAAAGUUCCUGCUCCAAAUCAAGGUAAUUUUUAAUGACUUGUAAGUCAAGACUGGACUGAGGAAAGAAAAACAUCAUGGUUUAGAAAAAUCAUCUCCCUUGCCUUCAAAGCAAGUAGGACACUUUCCAGAUCAAGCUGCUCGCUUCAGUCACCUUGGCAGAACAGAAGAGCACUCUGCAAAGGGAGCAGGUUACAAUUCCUGCACUGUGGUGCUGCCUUCUGUGAGGAGAGGGUGGGUUGUCCUGCCAGACUGUGCCACGUUACUGAGAGAGUGUCCUUGAGGGUGGCAAACAAUUGCCCUUACUGGGAAACAAGGCCAUGCUGUGUGCUUUUCUCCCAAAGGGAACAGUAAUGCUUGGAUCUGACCCUUUUUGUGCUGUUGGUGUUGGGUUAGAGCUGCCCAACCCCUGGAGACUUUCCUCCCAGAGAUAUAACGUCUGAUGAUGCCCCAAGGCUACCGUGCCUUACAAGGGAAAGCCUCUGGCUUUACUUACAACAAAAUUCAUGAGCUGCUACAACUGACAGAAGUUUUUUAAGUACGGGGGAAAAGUCUGUAAGGGUUGAUGAAACUUUGUUUUAGCAAAGCGAUUUUGGAUGGCUCCCAGUGGUUGGAGAAUGCUUAUAUUGUACACAUUCAAUAAGGUCAGCUGGGAAGUCAUUCUUGUUACCCUGUUUUCCAAGACACUGGUUUCUUAUUGGCUGUUCUUCUGAUAAUGCUCCUGUGUAUUCAGCGUUCGAUGCUGCAGAAGAUGCCUCAGUUUAUGGGAGAAAUUCCUGCACAUUUCAUGGAGUCCCAGAAAAAUCCUGCCAUUAAAGGUUUUUUUGCAGCAGUCCCACUAGGUAAAAUGGAGACCCUUCACCACGAAAAUGUUGUGCUUCUAGGAGAAGUUUCGCCUGUUAAAUCCCAGUGUUUUCAGCAUGUUCUAGUGUGUAAUGUCUUUCCAUUCUGCCUUGAAGGGAGUUAGGAAAGGGGGAUACCUACAGCGGUUAUGACAUAAUUUUUUGAUUUCAGCAACUGGAAUUGGGGGUGGAGGAAACAAACAGAAAAGUAGAAGUGUUGGGAAAGGAGUAUUUUACUAAGAGCGGCAAAAGGAGUCUGAAAGACUGCUGUACAAAGCAGACUUCCUAAAAAGCUAGAUAAUUUCUUCACUAUGUUGGCAUAGAUCUGAAAAGUUUUAUAAGCUUUCUUAUUUAAUAUUUCUGAUUACUUUAAAAAUUUGGAAGAACUGGAUUAGAGUGUUACCCAGUAUCAGCAUGCAUUAUGUAAUUCUAAGGCAGUAGAGUUACAAAAUUCCAAGACAGUUUGAUUGAGGUUUUCUUGGAAGAUGUUAAAUGGUACAAUGUCUAAUAGCAGUUGCUGCCUAUGAAGGGGGAAGUUUUCUGCCAGUUCUGAGAUCAAGGGUUACAGAAUUUGCAGAAGUUGCCUUGCUUGAGGCUUCGCAUUUCAAAGCUGCAGUCUUCUGAAGUCACUCCUAGCAGAGCUGGGUUCUGUUGGUGCAAACUGUCGUGCAUACAGGCACAGCCUCACACGCAACAAGUAAUGUUUGAACAAAGCCUUCUGGCUGGAUUGAAACCUCUCAUGAUUAGCAGGUAAUUAAAAAAAAAAAAAAAGAAAAAGAAAAAAAAUCCAGUUUCUUGAAGCCAGCAUAAACCCCCACCAACCUUACUGCUUAAAUAACGGAGGAGAAGAUCUCAGGUAGUGCACUAACGUCUGCAAAUCAGAGUUAAAUAAUCUUGGCAAUACACUUUCCAGAAAUAAUGUCCUUUAUGACUUGUUGGUGAGAGGCAUAAGUUGUCAGUAGAAAGAGCAGGGAUGGACCACAAUCAAGUAUGGCACACACUGCAGCAGAAUGGGGCAAGAAGCAGAGUUGGGUUAGCCAAAACUGAGUCUUUCACUUCUCUGUAGCCUUCAUUUGGCACCUUGCUUUAACCUUUGACAACAGUCAGUUGUGCCAUACGACCUCCUCUUCCUUGUUCUUGGCAGUCUGGAAAUGCAAUGAAGAAUAUGCUUACUUCUCUGAUUAAAAUCCUCCCAGCAGGGCUCUUUUGAAAGAACACAAUGUCACAAUGGAGAGCCCAGACAAGGAACUAGCAAAAAAAAAAAGGUAAUAGAAUAGUGAAUUUAUAGUCAUGACGUGGGGGGCACUUGACAUCAGUAACAAUCUCGGGAUGCAAAGAACAAUUACUCUAAUUCUCUUGGUGUUUUAUUAAGGAUAGGGCAGCAGAAAGGAUUUGGGGCUGCCAUAAGGAAAGUGAGGGCUGAUGCUUUUCCAAGCUAGCAUUUGCCAGACAAACAACCUGCACAGGAUUUUUAAGAACAUAGGUGAGUGCAAAGGACACUGAAAGUAACUGCCUGGGCUAGGGUUAGGCUCUUCAUUUUUCCCUCUCCUGGGAAGAAGAUGUGUGAUGUGCCACCUUCACCACCACAUGUGUUUUGUAUUUAUUUGCAUUGCUUCUAUUAGCCCUUUCACUGAUCUCUUUUAUUUGGAUGAACAUUUAUACUUUGAUGGCAAGAGUAAGAACAGGGUGUAAGGACAGAGAAGAUAUUUCUGGCCAGCCUGCUGCAUUGUGGCAUUCUUCAAACUUCAUGGUGGCCUGGUUACAUUUCUGGUUUCUUUUCCGUGUAAGUGUUGAGUGACACUGUCCCUGAUGAAAAUCACAGAUGUAGGCUGGUUCAACACCACCUCCCUCCCACCUCCAUGUAACAGUCCCUCCCUCUCACCUCCACCCGUGGUUUAUGGUCAGCCUAGUUAAGUUCUUUUGCCUCUUUUAAUAUAAAAAGUAGCAGGCGUUGGUGGCCUAGACUAAGGAAGUGUGAUGUAGCUUUAAAUAUGAUUUAUGUCUUCUAGAUAUUCUUUAGGCUAGCAAAGGGUAUUCUUGCAUCAACCUAAAAUGUAGUUGAAAACUACAGCUAUCCAUCAGAAGCAAAGACCAGGAAAACUAGUAACAAUCAUUUCAUGUUCUUUUGCUUUAUCCUCCAUACAGCUUAUUUUUGAGUGGAUGUUUUAGAGGUACUUCCUUAGAUUCCUCCUCUGGACCAGACACCAUGAGCUGCACUCAGAUUAAAUCCUGUUUCCAAAGUAGCUCCAGUAGCACACAGCGUGGCCGUGCUUGGAACAAACACAUCUGUGACCGAAGCAAGGCCUCCGGUGUCUGGUGUAAAUGUGUCAACAUGCACCUUGUUCCUAUUUUAACAGUGACUUAGUCAAAAGGGGGGAGUGGUGAUGAAUACAAGCCAGUAACCUUAAGAGCCUUCUCUUCAUGAACAUGUAGUGGAGCCCUUUUCACUCUUUCAAUCUUCUUUGAAAUUCAGCUGGAUUAAAGCAGUGAACAGUUUGUAAUUGUUUACCAGGAGUAUGAUGAGCCACAACAACGAAGCGUAAAAGAAACAAGCUGAAAUGCCCAAUAACCUCCUCAACACCCAGCAAUUAUGCUGGUACAUCACAGAACAUAACUGAACCACUGGUUAAUAAAACAGUUAAUGAAGUCAUUCUAAACCACUUUUUUCUACUUUUCUGCUGAGCAGCCUAUGAGAGUGCCACUAACCAUCAGUGGCAUAGAGGAGCUUUUACAGGAACAGGGAUGAAGGAAGGGAAAAUCUAGAGAAAAGAGUCUAAAUAUCUGAGUAUAGAGUUUCCCCUUGAACCUAAACAAAGAUUUUAUUUUUUCAUUUCCUUUCCCAUAAAUGUGAAAGUUUUAGGAUGCAGUCACCUAAAGCAUUUUCUGUAUCAGCAAGUCUCAUUUAAGGAGACUACUGAUCUCUUGCUCCUGCGUCUGCGCUGACACGUGCCAGCCUCUCGCUCCGUCAGUGCCACCAUCCGUGGUGCUGCAUGCUGGAUAGCUUCCCCUGCCAGAGCACAAGGAAGGCCCCUGACCACCUCCGUGUGCAGCAGCAGAUGCUGUAUUGGAGAUCCUGCCCGGUUCUUCUGGACACAGACACACAAAACCAGUAGCUGAUAGAACAGUAAUAACCCAUUCAAAGAAACAGAAAGUGGCUUUAGGAACUUGGAGUAGAAGCCCUUAGGAGAGCAUGGACAUUUGAUUUCUGCUUAC
This is a long non-coding RNA of Hirundo rustica (Barn swallow), 4426 nucleotides long. RefSeq lists it as uncharacterized. The transcript has 3 exons. NCBI's taxonomy places the organism in Eukaryota, Metazoa, Chordata, Aves, Passeriformes, Hirundinidae. The record is from RefSeq and is a predicted model, not a curated record.